CAGUAGCCGCGGGAAUACGAAGGUCCCGAGCGUUGUUCGGAAUCACUGGGCGUAAAGUGAGCGUAGGCGGCGUGGUAAGUCAGAUGUGAAAUCCCGGGGCUCAACCCCGGAACUGCAUCCGAUACUGCCAUGCUAGAGGAUUGGAGAGGUAGCUGGAAUUCUUGGUGUAGCAGUGAAAUGCGUGGAGAUCAAGAGGAACACCCGUGGCGAAAGCGAGCUACUGGACAAUAACUGACGCUGAGGCUCGAAGGCCAGGGUAGCGAAAGGGAUUAGAUACCCCAGUAGUCCCUGUCUCUUAUAA
This 301-nucleotide ribosomal RNA is filed under the name uncultured bacterium. RNAcentral's name for it is "partial 16S ribosomal RNA". It matches the Rfam family "Bacterial small subunit ribosomal RNA", at positions 509 to 809 of the family's 1533-position model. The record is from RNAcentral.